UGUCUUGAUCUGCUCUUUUGACACGAAUAAUAAUAUAAUAGCGUGCUAUUGCAAUAUCAGUAUUUCUCAGAAAAGCUCGGGUUUUUAUUCACAGCAGCAGCAUUACAAAGGCAGGCCGAAUAUAAAAAAUGUGACGACGCCACAGGGGCUCUAGUUUCGUACAGCACAUGGCGGAAACUGUCACGGCGAGGCAAUUUUGCGAGACAACGGGAGUCUCUCGGGUGGUCGUGUGAUCAAGUUUUUGUGAGGAACCUGCAUGAUCUUGCGCAUGAAGUAAUUAUUUUUGGACAGUUCCUUCUCUGGACGGUGUUACAAGUACAGGCAAGCAUCAACGGUUGUUAUUGCUGUACUUUGUGGUGUUGUGAUUCACCAGUGCGGAUCGAAGAGCACCGUUUUCUCCAGCCCUGAUUCUACAAUUUGGAGAUGGGGUACAAGGAGAAGUGCAAGUGUAUUCCACAUCUUGAGGGAGAUGCAAGAUAUGCUUCCGCAAUCCUUGCUGCAAGUGUUCAAAUAAAUGGUUGCAAGUUUCA
Non-coding RNA from Dermacentor albipictus, 530 nucleotides. Lineage: Eukaryota; Metazoa; Arthropoda; Arachnida; Ixodida; Ixodidae. The record is from RefSeq and is a predicted model, not a curated record.